UACAGUAGUAUGAUAUAUGUG
RNAcentral lists this non-coding RNA (21 nucleotides) under Caenorhabditis elegans. The record is from RNAcentral. Lineage: Eukaryota; Metazoa; Nematoda; Chromadorea; Rhabditida; Rhabditidae.